AUUGAACGCUGGCGGCAGGCCUAACACAUGCAAGUCGAGCGGAGCGGCGGACGGGUGAGUAAUGCCUAGGAAUCUGCCUGGUAGUGGGGGAUAACGUCAGGUAACGGGCGCUAAUACCGCAUCCUGUCAGAUGCGCCUAGGUUGGAUUAGCUAGUUGGUGGGGUAAAGGCCUACCAAGGCGGCGAUCCGUAACUGGUCUGAGAGGAUGAUCAGUCACACGGCAACUGAGACACGGUCUAGACCCCUACGGGAGUCAGCAGUGGGGAAUAUUCGACAAUGGGCGAAAGCCUGUUCCAGCCAUGCCGCGGGUGUGAAGAAGGGCUUCGGAUUGUAAAGCACUUUAAGUUGGGAGGCGUUACCAACAGAAUAAGCACCGGCUAACUUCGUGCCAGCAGCCGCGGUAAUUC
This 407-nucleotide ribosomal RNA is filed under the name uncultured bacterium. RNAcentral describes it as "partial 16S ribosomal RNA". It matches the Rfam family "Bacterial small subunit ribosomal RNA", at positions 30 to 526 of the family's 1533-position model. The record is from RNAcentral.